RNAcentral lists this ribosomal RNA (538 nucleotides) under uncultured archaeon. RNAcentral's name for it is "bacterial SSU rRNA". It matches the Rfam family "Archaeal small subunit ribosomal RNA", at positions 457 to 997 of the family's 1478-position model. The record is from RNAcentral.
GUCAGCCGCCGCGGGAACACCGGCAGCUCUAGUGGUAGCCAUUUUAUUGGGCCUAAAGCGUUCGUAGCCGGUUUGAUAAGUCUCUGGUGAAAUCCUGUAGCUUAACUGUGGGAAUUGCUGGAGAUACUAUUAGACUUGAGGUCGGGAGAGGUUAGCGGUACUCCCAGGGUAGGGGUGAAAUCCUGUAAUCCUGGGAGGACCACCUGUGGCGAAGGCGGCUAACUGGAACGAACCUGACGGUGAGGGACGAAAGCCAGGGGCGCGAACCGGAUUAGAUACCCGGGUAGUCCUGGCCGUAAACGAUGUGGACUUGGUGUUGGGAUGGCUUCGAGCUGUUUCAGUGCCGAAGGGAAGCUGUUAAGUCCACCGCCUGGGAAGUACGGUCGCAAGACUGAACUUAAGGAAUUGGCGGGGGAGCACCACAACGCGUGGAGCCUGCGGUUUAAUUGGAUUCAACGCCGGACAUCUCACCAGGAGCGACAGCCGUAUGAUAGCCAGGUUGAUGACCUUGCUUGACAAGCUGAGAAGAGGUGCAUGG